RNAcentral lists this ribosomal RNA (497 nucleotides) under uncultured bacterium. RNAcentral describes it as "partial 16S ribosomal RNA". It matches the Rfam family "Bacterial small subunit ribosomal RNA", at positions 28 to 507 of the family's 1533-position model. The record is from RNAcentral.
GAUGAACGCUGGCGGCGUGCCUAAUACAUGCAAGUCGAGCGAACGGACGAGAAGCUUGCUUCUCUGAUGUUAGCGGCGGACGGGUGAGUAACACGUGGAUAACCUACCUAUAAGACUGGGAUAACUUCGGGAAACCGGAGCUAAUACCGGAUAAUAUUUUGAACCGCAUGGUUCCAACGUGAAAGACGGUCUUGCUGUCACUUAUAGAUGGAUCCGCGCUGCAUUAGCUAGUUGGUAAGGUAACGGGUUACCAAGGCAACGAUGCAUAGCCGACCUGAGAGGGUGAUCGGCCACACUGGAACGGAGACACGGUCCAGACGCCUACGGGAGGCAGCAGUAGGGAAUCUGCCGCAAUGGGCGAAAGCCUGACGGAGCAACGCCGCGUGAGUGAUGACGGUCUUCGGAUCGUAAAACUCUGUUAUUAGGGAAGAACAUAUGUGUAAGUAACUGUGCACAUCUUGACGGUACCUAAUCAGAAAGCCACGGCUAACUACGUG